Molecule: ribosomal RNA, 696 nt
Filed under: uncultured bacterium
Lineage: Bacteria
Description: bacterial SSU rRNA
Rfam family: Bacterial small subunit ribosomal RNA
Source: RNAcentral
UAACGCGUGAGGAACCUGCCUCAAAGAGGGGGACAACNGUUGGAAACGACUGCUAAUACCGCAUAAGCCCACGGUGCCGCAUGGUACAGAGGGAAAAGGAGCAAUCCGCUUUGAGAUAGCCUCGCGUCCGAUUAGCUAGUUGGUGAGGUAACGGCCCACCAAGGCGACGAUCGGUAGCCGGACUGUGAGGUUGAACGGCCACAUUGGGACUGAGACACGGCCCAGACUCCUACGGGAGGCAGCAGUGGGGAAUAUUGCACAAUGGGGGAAACCCUGAUGCAGCGACGCCGCGUGGAGGAAGAAGGUCUUCGGAUUGUAAACUCCUGUUGUUGGGGAAGAUAAUGACGGUACCCAACAAGGAAGUGACGGCUAACUACGUGCCAGCAGCCGCGGUAAAACGUAGGUCACAAGCGUUGUCCGGAAUUACUGGGUGUAAAGGGAGCGCAGGCGGGAAGACAAGUUGGAAGUGAAAUCUAUGGGCUCAACCCAUAAACUGCUUUCAAAACUGUUUUUCUUGAGUAGUGCAGAGGUAGGCGGAAUUCCCGGUGUAGCGGUGGAAUGCGUAGAUAUCGGGAGGAACACCAGUGGCGAAGGCGGCCUACUGGGCACCAACUGACGCUGAGGCUCGAAAGUGUGGGUAGCAAACAGGAUUAGAUACCCUGGUAGUCCACACCGUAAACGAUGAUUACUAGGUGU